AUUUAAAUAGUUUAAUAAAAAUAUUGAUUUGUGGUGUCAAUGAUAUGAGUUUCAUUUUAGAUC
RNAcentral lists this transfer RNA (63 nucleotides) under Anopheles nimbus. Its description in RNAcentral is "tRNA-His". Lineage: Eukaryota; Metazoa; Arthropoda; Insecta; Diptera; Culicidae. The record is from RNAcentral.